Molecule: long non-coding RNA, 9113 nt
Organism: Lates calcarifer (barramundi perch)
Lineage: Eukaryota; Metazoa; Chordata; Actinopteri; Centropomidae
Exons: 4
Source: RefSeq, a predicted model, not a curated record
UGGGAGCUGUGUGUGUGUGUGUGUGUGUGUGUGUGUGUGUGUGCGCACAGUCAUAGCCUGCAGGAAAGCAGCAGCAUUGUUAACAGCUACAGUAGGGAAAGCCUCCAGACAAAACUCAGUGACCCCUAGUAAGAGAGUGGACUGGUUCCAGGUGCUUUCCUAAACUCCAGAUUUUUCCAACAGCUUUUGGCUGCAGUCCCCCCUUCAGGCACUGCAGAGCGCUUAUCGGGAUCUUAGAGUCGGAGGCGAAUGUUUGUAAGCAAAAAGAGUGCAGUGUCACCUAGAUAUCUUUAUUGGACUCUCUGCAGGAGUAUGAGGAAAUGAUACCCUUAUUAGAUGUUAUCCACAUGUUCAUAUGGGUAAUGUGAGAGCAACGAUCUUCAAAGGAUUUAAAUGGCCAAAUAUGAACUAUUAAAGAGUAAAGCAGGUCCUUGCUUAUGUGCUCAAGAGCCUCAUGAGAUGUUAGAUGGAGUCAGCCCUCAUGGAGCUUUAUGGUUCACAGACAUUUGGACAGGAUUUCUUUCACUGGGGGAGGUCAGAUGAUUUCAGUCUUACAUGUGUUCAUCAGUGACUUAAUCCGAUCCUAAGAACAUGUGUGUGUGAUUUUUCUCCCUGUACUACAAUAAGUGCACUUGUUGGUCCUUGCCUUAUUUAAUUCCCAUUGAGAAAAAUUGUGCUUUAUGCUAGCAAUGUGGCUCAGACUAAAAUGUCUCAACAACUAUUGAAUUUAUUGCCAAAGAAAUUGGACAGACAUUCGUGGUCUCCAGAGGAUGAAUCCCUCUGACUUUGGUUUCCCUCUGAUGCUACAGGCAGGUUUACAUUUGUGGUUCAGAGUGAAAUAUCUUGACAACUUUCUGGAUGGAUUGCCAUGAAAUUUCACACAUAUAUUCACAGUCCCCAGUGGGUGAAUGUUUAUGAUCUCCUGACUUUUUCCUCUAGAACCAUCAAGUCAAAACUUCUUGUCCAAAAUUUUGGUUUAUGAUCAAAUACCUGAAAACUAAUGACAUUUCCCCUCAGCCUCAACUGCACUUUGAGGUUAGUGUCAAGUCAACCAGUGUUAUGAUGCUAAUGUGCUAAACUAAGAUGGUUCACUGGCUAAAUAUGACCUACUAAACAUCAGCAUUGUCAUUGUGAGUAUGACUGCAUGCUGAUGUUAACAUUUAGCUUUAAGUGUUGCGGUGUUUGAGUACAGCCUCACAUAAAGACUGAGUUUCAUCUUUUCCUUUUGUUAAUGCAGAAUUUUUUUUUCUAGUUUGCAACUGUCUGCCUGGAUAAUUUCAAAGUAAAAACAUUGUAUUAUCUAACAGCAAUAUUAAUAGUAAUACAAAAUGUAAGAAUUUAAGUCACUAGUGACAAAGACAACAUUGUUUUCCUGCAGAAUAUCCCUGUCAAUCUGUCUUUGGCAAUGGCUAAAGUACUAAUAUUUUACUAAUCACCUUCCACUAGAAUAAGAAUUCAAUGCAAAAGGGGCUUUAUUCAUAAUUGUAGCGUGAGGGGAAUUUCUCUGAGGCAUACUUGCACUCUUACCAAACAUUACCCCAAGCUGGAGGUCUUAAUCGAGGCAGUCAACACAUUCUAAUAAGAGGAAUAAAAAAGUUCAGUCACAUUUUUCUUCUUCUAAACUGAAUGACACUAUUAAUAGAGCCCGGGGCUGCAUUUUGCAGAUGUGUGACACUUUCUCAUCUCCUGCUUCCUGCUUCAGUGGAAAUAAGGAGGAAGUUGAGGCUAGUUGGCUGAGAUGUAUCACUGAGCCACGUGACCAGAAAUGAGACAUACACUGAGAAUGAACAGACUGACUGUUAGGGUCAUUGAAGAUUUUUAGAACACUGAAACCUCAAAGAAAAACAUGAAUGGAGGUCGCUAAGCUGCCCAUAUAGCCAGGCAACAAAAUGUCACUGAUCUUUUUUUUUCCAAAAACACAGGAAAAUUUAACAUUCAUUUUUGUGGUAAUUUUACUAACUUUCUUUCAUUUUAGCUCUAUGUCUUCUGCAAGUGCUCAGCUUAAUAUGUAUCAGAGCACAUCACAACUCAAUUUUCCCCCUAGCAGCCACAACAUGGCAUUGCUAAAACCAUCAUUGAAAUACAUGUUGCUUUAAAAUGAGGAUGAAUGCAUAAGUGACAAAUGGCCCAAUCAACACCUUCCUGUAACUCUUGCAGCUGCAGGCUCAAAUACAUGUGACCCAAGUCUUAUGCAUGGAGUCUGUCGCCCUGCACAGCCAAACGUCAGGGCUCUUAUGAAUACAUGCUCAUGUAGAGCCUUCUAGGAAGAACCACAGACCUAGAGCUCGGGGUAUAUCCGCCUCAGUGCAAUACAGAGUUAUUCGAAAACCUGGCCACAACUGCAGAUUAAGGCAUAUAUAUCACACAUGCAUAUGCUCACAGACACACCGGAAGAUAGAUGCGCUAGGGUUUAUUGCAAUCUGAAAUUACACCCUGACUGCUUGCACUGUAUUAUACCAUUUUUAUAGCAGUCUAAGUUUAGCAUGGCAGACUUUUCAUCCUACCCCAAAUUAACUGCAUUAAAUGACUUCAUUACUCUGUGACACUCAAACCCAAGUCCCUUAGUUACUAGUCAGUAUUUUAAAAGGGGUCACAAAUAAAUACUCUUUCCUAUGCUUUUGGGUACUGUAGGUUAUAUAGUGCAGUUGUGGGGGACUGUUUCAGUGGCAGAUUAAAAGACACUGUUUACACUGCUUGGUAUUUUCAGUACCAUGAUGAUGUAUGUGUCACAGACUCCACAUAGACUAUUCAUCAUAAUAAAGGAACAUGCCACCCAGAGCAAGAGAGAGGCUCAUGUAUUAUUUUUAGCAGGUUUUCGAAGAAUAAGCUAUUACAGGCUUUGGCUACACAGGCAAUACUUCAAUCAAUCAGUCAAUCAACUGGUUCUUGAUUUUGGUCUUUUCAAGAGAUAUGUUGAGAAAAUAUAGAUGUAUGAUUUCAGUGGGCUUAACGUUUCACUGAAUAGGAUUUAAAUACCCAACGUCCCUUCUCUCUUACAAACUAAUGCCAACCAUUGAGUGUUCAUGAACAAAAUUGCUGUCUUAAAAAAGUACAGUACUAUUCCUUAACUUUGCCCAAAAUCCUCAAAUUAUUAACAGCCUGUCCCCUCAAUGGCUCAUCUCAAACCUCAGAUUCAAAGCUUCAGGGUGCUCAUUUUCAUUUCCAAACAAACAGUCUACUGUCAGCACUGCUUUCCACUCAGCAAUCCUCCUCACCCUUUUCUCCCUACCUCCUUCCUUUCUCCAGCAAUCUCUUGUUCCUUCUCUACAAAAUGACUCUCUGACUCUCUCUGUUUCUCUAAGCCCCUGAGUCUGUAAAACACAUAUGUCUGAGAUGCAGUAAAGUCUAUAUGUAACAGUUAGAGAGCCUGUUAAUGUCCAUGAAUGCACUUAGAUCACACAUACAUAGUUUCACAAUCUCCAUAAAUACUGAAGUGUCAAGUCUGUUAUAUAAAAUAUCUCAAAACUAUCACCCUGACUAAGGAACAUGUUCUGAGCCACGGCCUAAACACACAAUUUAAUAACCGUUUACAAGGAGAUGAUAACAACACAUGUUGUAAAAAGAAAAAGGACAUGCUCCAAUUGCAGUGUUGCUUUUUUCUGUCCUUUCCCUUCCUCUUCUUCCGACCACGUUUGCAUUCCUUCUUCUUUAGCCUCUCUUUCUCACCCUUCUCAUUCUCUGUUCUGCUUCACAUAUCCCUUCAUUACCCUCUCUCCUGCUCUCCCUCCUCUGUCCAGGCUUCAUGAAAACAGAGAUACAGACUCAUACGCAGAGUGUGUUGGACAGUCAGGAACAGAGACAGUGAGUCAGCCUUAAAACUGUGCAACAGUGUUUUGCUCUUAGGUCAGCUGCUUCACAUUUUCAGUUUCGUCUCUCUCUCUCUCUCUCUCUCUCUCUCUCUCUCCCCAACACCCUUCUUCCCCUCCUCAUGGUAACAGAAAAGCCAGAGGUGGUCAGAUAAAGCUGAGGGAGAAAAAAAGAGAGGGAGUUAGACCGAGAGACAUAGAGAGUGUGAGAGGCUGACUCCAGAUUAAAGGACAACAUUCUGGGAAUUCCUUUCUGCUGAGAGCAUCCUCCCCCUCACCACCACCACCAUCCUCCUCCUCCUCAGCCCCCACUGCUGCACUCUCCUCCCCGCUCCGCUUUGGGGAGGAAAUGGCUUCUCCUGCCCCAGAGGACCUCCAGACCUCCUGGGCCAGACCUCCAAGCCUGACUGACAUGCAACAUCCGGACCUGUGCCACCAGCGCACUGGGCAUGCACAGUGGAGGAGUAUGACAAUGGAGUGCAUGCAUGUGAGAGCGGGGGCGUUUGGUUUGUGUAAUGUGCACCUAUUUUCCAUUGCUAUGAGGGACUACCACCAAAAUAUCAGUGACCUGAUGCCAUGAGGAUGACUGAGGCAGGGGCUUAGGGCUGCAGCACUGGAGGGACUGGGUCUGAUGGAGCUUGGCCGGGGGCCUGUGUUUACAUUCUCUUUCACUGAGGAAGCCCAGGAUGAAAGCGCACCACUGCACACACAGACACAUACUGUCCACACACACACACACACAUACACACACACACACAGACAAGUACUUUGGAUGCACCAGAAGCCAAAUAAUUGCUGUAACUGAAUCAAUAAAAGCAUGAUUGGACCUUCAAACUUUCAGCAGAUACUGAAUAAAAAAGGAAUGAGUGUGCAGUGCAGUUAAUUCUCUCAGGUAAAUGGCUUGACUGUUUCAGGCUUUGAGUCUUAAACUAGAAUUAGAUUACAUUCCUGAAAGCAAUCCACCACAAAUUAAAGUCUUCCUAAGUGAAUCUCAGAGGAAAACGGAUAAAGUCUACAGACAGUAUAGGCAGGCCACAUAUGGGAGAAGCAGCGGAUGUUAUAAUAAUAAUAUGAGCAAAACUAUGCACUCAGAGAGUACAGUGGAGCUGAGGCUGUGAUGUUGUGUCUCCAGAGAGGCCCCAUUCGAAGCUCCAGCAGUCAGCCAUGUUGUAAACACCAUUAUUUCACUCCUCCCUCACUUUCCCUCUUUCUCUCUCUUGUUCUGCAAAAAGGACAAUUUACAGUCGCAACAAUACCACUGCACCGGGCCAAGAAAGGAAAUAAGGAAGGAGAGAGGGAGAGAGAAGAUUUAAGAGAGAGGUGAGGGGGAAAGGUAGAUUAAGACAGAGGGGAGAGAGAGACAGAGCUACAGGGCCAGAGAGAAAAGUGCAAGAGCAGCACACAAACUGUAUACAGUAAAACAGGGAAAAAAAAGGGGCACCACAACUGUUGCCAAAGUAUGCACAGCGUACAGGAAUGCAGCAUGGGGCCCUCUGCGAGCGAAACAAAGACAGCACAGUCAGUGGCUCUCUCUCCCCAGUGCUACCACAUCCGCACAUCAUUAGCUGGAAAAUUCCUGAUAUAUGCUGUAAUUUUUUCUCUUUUUUUCCUCCUCUUCCUCUUUGCCGUUGCUGGUACAGACAAGGCUUUAAUAUCCAGAUGCCGGUGUGUGAGUGUGAGUGUGCGUGCACAUGCACCGCACACACACCGAUCAGUACCCCCUUUUCCCAUCCUGCAGGCGUUGCCAAGAGACCAAUCGACAAUUAAUAUUGUGAACUGCAGAGAAGAACAGCAGAACUACAAAUGUGAGGGGCCAGCCCCUUUGCUCCAGCCGGCUACAGUCAAAGCACAGAGGAUGACUUUUCCUUUUUUUCCCAUGCGGAGCCGUUUGAGGAGAUAUCUAAACAUUCCCAGAGAGUGCUGCACGUGCUCUCCUGCGUGCAGUGCAAGGGUUUUCCCCCCCUCCCACUCCCUACUGCUGCCUGCCUGCCUGCCUGCCUUUCUUUUGGUCAGUCCAGAGUAGGAACACAUUGUCUGGCAAAGGAACAGAUUCACAGACAUGACUGUCCAGUUCAUCCUUGGUCAUCACUCAGAAAUUUCUGUUUCAUCAGUCUUUGUUUCUGAACUCUGUUGCACAACUAGGGAUAGUGCACAACUAAUGCUUGCAUGUGUGAUAUUGCAGGAGUCCUGAGACAUAAUGUUUUGCAAAGAAGUUUUCAUAAAAUCAUUGUCGCAAAACUGUUAAACAAAGCUGCACCUUAACUAACAAAGUACCAAAAACCAUCAUCAACAAGCAUGCAGCUUGCCUGAAAGACCCAUUAUCUGCAGACCCGUCACUAUCUUUUAAGAUUACCAUAACAUGCCGCAAGUGAGAACACACCAAUCUGCACUUUCCCCUAACCCACACCCACAGAUUCUAACUGAUAUUCAUAGUCAAACAAGGGCCCAAAAAUGGGAAACACCUUCAUAGUGAAAAUACAAAUGCAGACUGAAUAGAGUCUGACUGCUCUUGAAAGCUCUGUAUUGUAAAAGACCGUCUGCUGCUUGAGUGCGGGCAGGAAAUCUGGUUUCAAUUUGUUUAAUGUCGUCUGAGAUAUGGGUGUCUUAUUCUGGUAAACGUAGUGGGAGGGCUAUAAGUAGAGGGAACUAGGGGGAAGAAUUGGGAAAAUACCUUUGAUCAGGUAACAGUUUCACUCCUCUGCCUGUCACCAAAAGCAGUUUACUGGAAACUAUGACAGCGACUGUACAGAUUCUCUCAGAAGAUAUUUCUCAAAAACCUCAUAAUAACAGUGCUAAUAUUCGGUUUAUUUGGUCCUGUAAAAGAAAAUGUAGAAGCAAUUAUUUCACUGAACAAGACUUGAAAGGACACAGCUGGAAGAAUCGUAAAAUUCCCUCUGGCUAUCGUGUAACUCAAUAACAGUCAGUUAAGAUAAGCUCAGAGGCAGAAGACAAAAAACAUCUUCACCACUAAUAAAGUUAAUCUUGUCAUCUCAUGUAAAUUAUGGAAGUUUAUUUUGGUUUCAAAAAAAGAAAAACACAAGAGUCCGACAACAAGUGCUAAAAUAAAAGACUGGUGGUAUUCCCCUUUAGUUUUCCAAAUCCAAUUUGACAGGCAACGACAUGCGCAUGACAAGCAUGAGAGAGGAAACUAAUGGGUUGCAUGGGACCAUCCAGUCAGCCUUGUAUUACAAUGAUUGCCAAUGUGUGGAUGGUGAAGACCACCACCUUCAGGUUACAGGAGGUUAUCUUUUGUAUGUUUUGAAAGGAACACCUGACCUAACCUCUGGUCCUCUGUCACUUCCAGAUCAAGGACCAUAUUAAGUCCUUCUAAAUGGAGCCAAAAGUUCCCUUUGCUAAGAGAUCCUUCUCGAGACCUGAGCAACUUUUACUGAGGAACUGAGAACUCCUACACUACAGGAACAGGUGGGGUUGACCCCGUUCAAAGUUCAUUAUUUGUAUUUAAAUAAUGUUCAGAAUUAUACUUUCCCAAUACACUGAUCUGACGUGGCGCAACGCCAGAAUCAGCUGACUGAUAGCAGGUGGGACUUAUGGACUCAUGAGUCCUCCAGACUACCUCUAAAUUAGGAGCCAGUAAUUACUCUUAGACCAGUGACUGUAGGAGUCCUACAGUAAGAACUGACACGCCUGACUGAAGCUCAUUCUCUCCACACUUGGCCAGUUAGAGAGACACUUUUAGCCUUAGGUUUAGGUUUAGGUAAUUUUGAUAUGUCCCUCGACUUUGAUUUAGAGUCCAAGUCAGAUGACUUCAAAUCAGCGUCUUUGAUCGAACCUGCCUAAUUCCACACCAGUAUUUGGAUGGUAAUAAGUCAUGCUCUAACACUGCUUUACACAAAGGAAUUUCUGUGACAUUACAGACUCUUGGGUGGUAUUUUGUAUUAAAAAUUUGCUGUAGCAUUUAUUCCAGAUUCAAAUAACAUCAAAAGAAAUGGUGCUCCCUAAAGUGCUUUAGCAGAAAUGGGAUCUCAGUGGGAUGGACCGAGAACAGAUCCCUCUCCACUCUUUUCUGGUAUGUCAGAUUAACCCAUCAGCUUUUCCCAUCUGCCUGUCACUCAUGGCUGUACAAUGAGGCUGCAGCCAGACUGGGGUCAUUAAAAAACCAUCAACAAAGCAACAGACCCCUAGGGACUGCCAGGGGCAGCCUAAUCUGGACCCCUGUACCAACCCAAUGGGUGGUCUCCCUCUCUUUUCCUACCUCCCUCCCUCCCCAACCCCUCCCAUCCCCCACCAGGGAGGGUGAAAUAUGUGCAACAUGGUAGGUGAGUGAGCCAUCAGUCACAUACAACCAUGCAUGUGCAAAUGCACCCAGACUCCACACAUUUUUUAUACACACACCCAUGCCGCAUUUUUUGUCAAUGACAUAUUAACAAGCAAGCACGUUGCUAGGUGAGAAAGCAAAUUCAUCACAAAAAGAGAAGUUCGACAAUGCUGGUAAAUCAUCAGCAGAAAGUACAAGAGUGCUAUUUUCAGUUAGUGGCUCUGGAAAAAAAAAAGAGGAGCGAGGGACUCUUUUGACGACUUUAUGCAAAUGCUCACUUCAGCUAAACCUGUCAUUCUAGAAGCGCUAAAUGAAUCACUUUGAAAGUGAGAGAGAAGUGUCUCGUUCGCUUAAGCAACAGCAGUUCUCCAAAGCCCAUCUGUCUGCCAGUAACGGUGGCAUUAGGUGACUAAAUAAGUAACUGCUGGUCUGUUGGGCAAAGGGGAAGAUCCUCUUAAACAGUGUGUGUAUUUGUGUACAUGUGCACUGCAUACAGUGUAGAUUAUCUGCUUUUAUUAGCAAGAGGAAAUACUGAAUGGAUGAAUGGAGACUGUGUGUGUGUGUGUGUGUUUAUGUAUGUGUGUGUUGGACUGAUAGGGGGAUUCCAGACACAGGAACAUUCAUCUGGAACCGAAGAUCCCGUGCUCACGUUGCAGCGCCCCGCUGCAGUAACACGCGCACGCUCACACAUACACACACCACUUCCAUCUCAUUUUUGUGGCCCAGUCUGUAUAACCAAGGAAGGAAAUGAGUGUGUGAGUUUGUGUGCAAACAGAUUCACAUGUUAAGUGCCUCUGUGUGUACAUGAGUAGUUUCGGGGGACUUGAUAUCUGUCACUCAUAUCUAAAGGUGAAUUCCCAGCUAAGUAUUCUAACCUCGUCUAAAAGUGUCCCCGUCUCGUCCAUAAUGAGGUAUAACAUUUAUUCAAAGACAAAACCUCCAGUGAAACCACACAUAUACUGAAUAUUGUAUAACACUAUGUAAAUUCUAUGGUUAGGUAUGACUUCCUCUCAGAGUUAGCUGUGUAUUAU